CAUCUGAAUAUCUCCAGGGAAGGAGACUCCACCACCUCUCUGGGCAACCUGUUCCAGUGCUCUGUCACCCCCACAGUGAAGAAGUUUUUCCUCAGGUUUAGAUGGAAAUUCCUGUGGUUCAGUUUGUGCCCGUUACGUCUUGUCCUGUCACUUGGCACCACGGACAAGAGGCUCCAUACAAAGGCUCCAUGCAAAAUUAGUAUUUGCCACAGUAUAGUGGAAUAAUUUUCCACAGCAUACAUUAUCAUUUAUAAGAUUUUUCACCUCUUACUUUGCACAUACUGUUCGUUUCAUUAGUCCCCUUGCCAUCUCUUCUGAAGGAAUACUGAGAAUCCAAAAUGGAGAAUUUACACAAAAUAAAAGCAUUCUGAUUUCUGUACAGGUUGGACCCUCCGGUUCCUCUCGGAACAGCUAUACAAGUGGUCAGAGUGGAGUAGUCUACUCAAUAAGCAAGAGCGGAUGUGUCCCAGGAGGGACUGCUGAUGCAUACAGCAGACAUGCCUGCAAAGAUAGUGCAUCCUCAUAUAGACCUGGUCUUACCUAUGGCCAGUCUGUCCCUGCAAGCAGUUCAGAUUCCAGUAAGAAGGUGGUGGUCAUUGCUAACAGCAAUCCUUUCCCACCUGUGCGUCAUACCUACCCGCAGCUCUUGGGCAGUUCUGCUACUAAGGUCAUAAUACAGGAUGGACGAAGACAACACAGCAGCAGCUAUACUUAUGCUCAGGGUUACCAGCCUCAAGGUGGCAGUUCCUAUGGCCAGGUAAGCACCUCUCAGUCACCAGUCAGUACACAGCAUUUAAGGAAGUGGAGGGUCAUGGCGGCACCGUGAAAGUGCUAUACAGUCACUCUGAGUUUGGAAUUCAAAGGACGUUUUCUCUGAAAGCGUGUGUUCCCACGGUUUCGAGUAGUCCACGUGCUGUUUGUUUAUUUGAAACCCCG
This 936-nucleotide long non-coding RNA is filed under the name Struthio camelus australis. RNAcentral describes it as "lncRNA (ENSSCUG00000014147.1)". The record is from RNAcentral. Lineage: Eukaryota; Metazoa; Chordata; Aves; Struthioniformes; Struthionidae.